AACGAACGCUGGCGGCAUGCCUAGCACAUGCAAGUCGAACGAGACCUUCGGGUCUAGUGGCGCACGGGUGCGUAACGCGUGGGAACCUGCCCUUAGGUUCGGAAUAACUCCCCGAAAGGGGUGCUAAUACCGGAUAAUGUCUUCGGACCAAAGAUUUAUCGCCUUUGGAUGGGCCCGCGUUGGAUUAGCUAGUUGGUAGGGUAAAAGCCUACCAAGGCGACGAUCCAUAGCUGGUCUGAGAGGAGGAUCAGCCACACUGGGACUGAGACACGGCCCAGACUCCUACGGGAGGCAGCAGUGGGGAAUAUUGGACAAUGGGCGAAAGCCUGAUCCAGCAAUGCCGCGUGAGUGAUGAAGGCCUUAGGGUUGUAAAGCUCUUUUACCCGGGAUGAUAAUGACAGUACCGGGAGAAUAAGCUCCGGCUAACUCCGU
RNAcentral lists this ribosomal RNA (432 nucleotides) under uncultured bacterium. Its description in RNAcentral is "partial 16S ribosomal RNA". It matches the Rfam family "Bacterial small subunit ribosomal RNA", at positions 29 to 506 of the family's 1533-position model. The record is from RNAcentral.